Molecule: ribosomal RNA, 349 nt
Filed under: Burkholderia multivorans
Lineage: Bacteria; Pseudomonadati; Pseudomonadota; Betaproteobacteria; Burkholderiales; Burkholderiaceae
Description: partial 23S ribosomal RNA
Rfam family: Bacterial large subunit ribosomal RNA
Source: RNAcentral
GGUCAAGCGAACAAGUGCAUGUGGUGGAUGCCUUGGCGAUCACAGGCGAUGAAGGACGCGGUAGCCUGCGAAAAGCCCCGGGGAGCUGGCAAACAAGCUUUGAUCCGGGGAUGUCCGAAUGGGGAAACCCACUCCUUAUGGAGUAUCCAUGACUGAAUACAUAGGUCAUGUGAAGCGAACGCGGUGAACUGAAACAUCUAAGUAACCGCAGGAAAAGAAAUCAACCGAGAUUCCCAAAGUAGUGGCGAGCGAAAUGGGAUGAGCCUUGUACUCUUUAUUUGUAUUGUUAGCCGAACGCUCUGGAAAGUGCGGCCAUAGCAGGUGAUAGCCCUGUAGGCGAAAACAGUAU